UACAGAGGGCGCGAGCGUUGUCCGGAAUUAUUGGGCGUAAAGAGCUCGUAGGCGGUUCGGCAAGUCGAAUGUGAAAUCUCCACGCUCAACGUGGAGGGGUCAUUCGAUACUGCCGUGACUUGAGUACGGUAGGGGAGUGUGGAAUUCCCGGUGUAGCGGUGAAAUGCGCAGAGAUCGGGAGGAACACCCGUAGCGAAGGCGGCACUCUGGGCCGAUACUGACGCUGAGGAGCGAAAGCGUGGGGAGCGAACAGG
RNAcentral lists this ribosomal RNA (254 nucleotides) under uncultured bacterium. RNAcentral describes it as "partial 16S ribosomal RNA". It matches the Rfam family "Bacterial small subunit ribosomal RNA", at positions 524 to 776 of the family's 1533-position model. The record is from RNAcentral.